AUUAAAGAUUUUGGCGGUAUUUUAGUCCAUUCAGAGGAACCUGUCCUGUAAUUGAUAAUCCACGAUUUAAUUUACUUGUUUUUUUAGUUUGUAUAUCGUCGUGGGUUGAAUAUUUUAUAAGAAUUAUAAUGUUCAAUAAAUAUAAAUUUAUUUUAUGUCAGAUCAAGGUGCAGCUUAUGAAUAAGAAGAGAUGGGUUACAAUAAAAUUAUUUUUGGUUUAUUAGCUUUAAUGUUUUUAGUAAAUUGGAUUUGAAUGUAAUAUUUUUUAAUUUAUAGAUGUGAUUUUGGCUCUAAAAUAUGCACAUAUUGCCCGUCGCUCUCGUUUAAUAUGAGAUAAGUCGUAACAAAGUAGAUGUACUGGAAAGUGUAUCUAGAAAGAU
RNAcentral lists this ribosomal RNA (380 nucleotides) under Melanotus sakishimensis. RNAcentral's name for it is "partial small subunit ribosomal RNA". Lineage: Eukaryota; Metazoa; Arthropoda; Insecta; Coleoptera; Elateridae. The record is from RNAcentral.